RNAcentral lists this ribosomal RNA (489 nucleotides) under uncultured bacterium. RNAcentral describes it as "partial 16S ribosomal RNA". It matches the Rfam family "Bacterial small subunit ribosomal RNA", at positions 30 to 507 of the family's 1533-position model. The record is from RNAcentral.
UUGCACGCUGGCGGCAGGCCUAACACCUGCAAGUCGAACGGUAACAGGAAGCAGCUUGCUGCUUCGCUGACGAGUGGCGGACGGGUGAGUAAUGUCUGGGAAACUGCCUGAUGGAGGGGGAUAACUACUGGAAACGGUAGCUAAUACCGCAUAACGUCGCAAGACUAAAGAGGGGGACCUUAGGGCCUCUUGCCAUCGGAUGUGCCCAGAUGGGAUUAGCUAGUAGGUGGGGUAACGGCUCACCUAGGCGACGAUCCCUAGCUGGUCUGAGAGGAUGACCAGCCACACUGGAACUGAGACACGGUCCAGACUCCUACGGGAGGCAGCAGUGGGGAAUAUUGCACAAUGGGCGCAAGCCUGAUGCAGCCAUGCCGCGUGUAUGAAGAAGGCCUUCGGGUUGUAAAGUACUUUCAGCGGGGAGGAAGGGAGUAAAGUUAAUACCUUUGCUCAUUGACGUUACCCGCAGAAGAAGCACCGGCUAACUCCGUG